UACGUAGGGUCCGAGCGUUGUCCGGAAUUAUUGGGCGUAAAGCGCGCGCAGGCGGCUAUCCAAGUCAGUGGUGAAAGCCCGGAGCUCAACUCCGGAACUGCCAUUGAAACUGUUUAGCUUGAGGACGAGAGAGGUGAGCGGAAUUCCCAGUGUAGAGGUGAAAUUCGUAGAUAUUGGGAAGAACACCAGUGGCGAAGGCGGCUCACUGGCUCGUUUCUGACGCUCAGGCGCGAUAGCGUGGGGAUCAAACAGG
RNAcentral lists this ribosomal RNA (253 nucleotides) under uncultured bacterium. Its description in RNAcentral is "partial 16S ribosomal RNA". It matches the Rfam family "Bacterial small subunit ribosomal RNA", at positions 524 to 776 of the family's 1533-position model. The record is from RNAcentral.